This 278-nucleotide ribosomal RNA is filed under the name uncultured eukaryote. RNAcentral's name for it is "partial 18S ribosomal RNA". It matches the Rfam family "Eukaryotic small subunit ribosomal RNA", at positions 21 to 298 of the family's 1831-position model. The record is from RNAcentral.
UAGUCAUAUGCUUGUCUCAAAGAUUAAGCCAUGCAUGUCUAAGUAUAAACAAGUUUGUACUGUGAAACUGCGAAUGGCUCAUUAAAUCAGUUAUAGUUUAUUUGAUGUUAAAUUGCUACAUGGAUAACUGUGGUAAUUCUAGAGCUAAUACAUGCAAUCAAGCCCCGACUUCCGGGAGGGGUGUAUUUAUUAGAUAAAAAACCAACGCGGCUCGCCGCUCUUUUGGUGAUUCAUAAUAACUUUUCGAAUCGCAUGGCCUUGUGCCGGCGAUGCUUCAU